RNAcentral lists this transfer RNA (201 nucleotides) under Marmota monax (woodchuck). RNAcentral's name for it is "tRNA.Sup". The record is from RNAcentral. Lineage: Eukaryota; Metazoa; Chordata; Mammalia; Rodentia; Sciuridae.
GGUUGUGGCUCAGUGGUAGAGUGCUUGUCUCUAACACUGGGUUUGAUCCUCAGCAUCACAUAAAAAUAAAUAAAUUAAUUAAAGGUAUUGUGUCCAUCUACAGUUAAAAAUAUUUUUUAAAAAAAGGAUGAAUGGGCUGGGGCUCAGCGGUAGAGCCCUUGCCUAGCAUGUGCGGGGCCCUGGGUUCAACCCUCAGCACCA